UUUAAUCGACAAAGUCAUUUUGUGUCCGUAACAGUUUCAUGUGUAUGUGGAGAUUCAUUCAAGUGGCUCUCCUCCUCUAUCAUGGGAGGAUCUCCUCCAAAGUACUAUGUAAAUUUGAGUCUUGAAAAAGCAUUGUUAUGCAACCAUUGUGAAUAGGGUUUGCAAUGAGUCCAUGUCUGCUGCCCAGGAAGAAGUGAAAAGCACCCCUUGUUAUGUUGUAAAUGGAGAGAACCAAAAAAGUUUUAGGAGUCGUAAACUGGAGUAGGGCUAGUGAAACUUCAGCAGUGAGCCGUGAAGUCCCUAUGACAAAAGAGCUGCUGACUU
Molecule: long non-coding RNA, 324 nt
Organism: Stylophora pistillata
Lineage: Eukaryota; Metazoa; Cnidaria; Anthozoa; Scleractinia; Pocilloporidae
Source: RefSeq, a predicted model, not a curated record